RNAcentral lists this ribosomal RNA (384 nucleotides) under Triticum aestivum (bread wheat). RNAcentral describes it as "partial small subunit ribosomal RNA". The record is from RNAcentral. Lineage: Eukaryota; Viridiplantae; Streptophyta; Magnoliopsida; Poales; Poaceae.
AUGUUUCCUUUUCCACAAGCAACUUCUCCAGGCUCUGGAAGGCAAAUGUUGAGGCGAAAUGUCGUUUCUUCACAUGGUUUUGGAUUCAGGGCCGAAUUCUCACCUACGACAACCUCUCCGUCAGGGGAAUGGCUCAUAAUCAGCUAUGCAAUCUGUGUGACCAGGUUGAGGAGAUCUCUCUGCAUCUUAUCCUCAAGUGUUCUUUCGCGAAGGAGGUUUGGCUAUUGGCGGCGGAUUGGUGUGACUGUCCGACCACUGCUUCUAAUGCCGAAAAUGCCACCUCUUUCCUCAUGGUGGAGUGAGCUUACUUGUCCCAUGAACGACCAAUGCAUCGUCGCGUGUUGGAGCAUUCCUGUCUGCUCGGUCCUGGAGUCCUUCACCUGA